Molecule: long non-coding RNA, 262 nt
Organism: Pelobates fuscus (common spadefoot toad)
Lineage: Eukaryota; Metazoa; Chordata; Amphibia; Anura; Pelobatidae
Exons: 3
Source: RefSeq, a predicted model, not a curated record
GGUGCUGCUGUAGGAGAGGGUGCUGCUGUAGUAGAGGGUGCUGCUGUAGUAGAGGGUGCUGCUGUAGUAGAGGUGCUGCUGUUAUAGAGGGUACUGCUGCUGUUGCUGUUGGUGCUGUUGCUGUGAGUAAUGGGUCGGUCAGAGCUCUGAUAUUAUUACAGCUCCUGCCUUCUGCCUGUGUGGGAGAGAUCUCUGACUGUGUGAGUGCAUUGGACUCUGGUGGAGCUCUAUGGGAAUGAGAGACAUGAGGCAGAAAGAGAGA